CGUGAGACAGUUUGGUCCCUAUCUGCAGUGGGCGUUGGAAGUUUGACGGGGGCUGCUCCUAGUACGAGAGGACCGGAGUGGACGAACCUCUGGUGUACCGGUUGUGACGCCAGUCGCAUCGCCGGGUAGCUAAGUUCGGAAGAGAUAAACGCUGAAAGCAUCUAAGCGUGAAACUCGCCUGAAGAUGAGACUUCCCUAGGGAUUUAAUCCCUCUGAAGAGACGUUCGAGACCAGGACGUUGAUAGGUCGGGUGUGGAAGAGUGGUAACACUUGGAGCUAACCGAUACUAAUUGCUCGUGAGGCUUGACUCUAU
This 313-nucleotide ribosomal RNA is filed under the name Snodgrassella alvi. RNAcentral's name for it is "bacterial LSU rRNA". It matches the Rfam family "Bacterial large subunit ribosomal RNA", at positions 2620 to 2925 of the family's 2925-position model. Lineage: Bacteria; Pseudomonadati; Pseudomonadota; Betaproteobacteria; Neisseriales; Neisseriaceae. The record is from RNAcentral.